CAGCGCUUCACAACCAGCUGGAUGCAGGCUUGGGGCUGUGCUACUCUGAAAGAAAUGCUAGGCAAAAGCUGUAGCCCCAGCAGGGAGCAUCUUCUCCAGCUCACCUGGCUCUGCAGGARAAUACAUGCAGUGCCUGCAUUCUCAAUAUACCAUGUUUGCAGCACUUCUUUCCAGUGGACGCAGAAGAUGUGCAGAAGCGACGCUCGAACAGUGGCUCUGUGGAGCUGAUGAGAGCUGGUUUCCAGCCCACACCCCGCAUGAGCAGCUUGAACAGCACAGUCUCUUCGGCCUGGCCUAGAAGAUCAAACUGCUGAGCCUGAGACUCUGGGCAGUGGAGUCCUGCUAAGUGAAAGCACUUUUUAAUGGGAAGUGAAUGGAACUCGUUAGCGUCUGCCAUUUUAUUAUGUAGGUUGAAAAUUACUUAUUAGCAUGGAUGCAUUCACUCUUCAUGCUGAUCAUUCAUAUGUUUUGCUAGAAGAGUACAAGUACAUUUAUCUCCAAGCCAAGGAGUAUCUUGUAUCUCUCUAAAUCACAUGGCUGCAGACAAAAAAAAAAAAAAAAGAAAAGAUGUGGGUACUCAGUAUGUUCUGAUUCCCUUGCCUUGGCAGUAGAAGUCG
This 617-nucleotide long non-coding RNA is filed under the name Apteryx rowi (Okarito brown kiwi). RNAcentral's name for it is "lncRNA (ENSARWG00000015573.1)". Lineage: Eukaryota; Metazoa; Chordata; Aves; Apterygiformes; Apterygidae. The record is from RNAcentral.